AGCGAACGCUGGCGGCAUGCCUAACACAUGCAAGUCGCACGGGGGGGCUUCGGCCUCCCAGUGGCGGACGGGUGAGGAACGCGUAGGGACCUGUCGAGGGGUGGGGGAUAACCGCGGGAAACUGCGGCUAAUACCGCAUUACGCCGCGGCGUGACAGCCGGGGCCAAAGGCGAAAGCCGCCCGCCGAGGGGCCUGCGUCCGAUUAGCUGGUUGGCGGGGUAGCGGCCCACCAAGGCGUCGAUCGGUAGCUGGUCUGAGAGGGUGAUCAGCCACACCGGGACUGAGACACGGCCCGGACUCCUACGGGAGGCAGCAGUGGGGAAUAUUGGACAAUGGGCGUAAGCCUGAUCCAGCAAUGCCGCGUGGGUGAAGAAGGUCUUCGGAUUGUAAAGCCCUUUCGGCGGGGACGAUGGUGACGGUACCCGCAGAAGAAGCCCCGGCUAACUUCGUG
This 451-nucleotide ribosomal RNA is filed under the name uncultured bacterium. Its description in RNAcentral is "partial 16S ribosomal RNA". It matches the Rfam family "Bacterial small subunit ribosomal RNA", at positions 28 to 507 of the family's 1533-position model. The record is from RNAcentral.